Molecule: ribosomal RNA, 254 nt
Filed under: Salmonella enterica subsp. enterica serovar Newport
Lineage: Bacteria; Pseudomonadati; Pseudomonadota; Gammaproteobacteria; Enterobacterales; Enterobacteriaceae
Description: partial 23S ribosomal RNA
Rfam family: Bacterial large subunit ribosomal RNA
Source: RNAcentral
ACUUUAACACUGAGGCGUGAUGACGAGGCACUACGGUGCUGAAGCAACAAAUGCCCUGCUUCCAGGAAAAGCCUCUAAGCAUCAGGUAACAUCAAAUCGUACCCCAAACCGACACAGGUGGUCAGGUAGAGAAUACCAAGGCGCUUGAGAGAACUCGGGUGAAGGAACUAGGCAAAAUGGUGCCGUAACUUCGGGAGAAGGCACGCUGACACGUAGGUGAAGUGAUUUACUCAUGGAGCUGAAGUCAGUCGAAG